GACGAACGCUGGCGGCGUGCUUAACACAUGCAAGUCGAGCGGUAAGGCCCUUCGGGGUACGACGAGCGGCGAACGGGUGAGUAACACGUGGGUGACCUGCCCUCCAGCUCUGGGAGUAAGCCCGGGAAACCGUGGGUCGUAAUACCGGAUAUGACUCCAUGACGCAUGUUGUGGGGUGGGAAAGCCUUGUGCGGCUGAGGAUGGGCCCGCGGCCUAUCAGCUUGUUGGUGGGGUGAUGGCCACCAAGGCGACGAUCGGUAGCUGGUCUGAGAGGACGAUCAGCCACACUGGGAGUUGAGAACGG
Molecule: ribosomal RNA, 304 nt
Filed under: uncultured bacterium
Lineage: Bacteria
Description: bacterial SSU rRNA
Rfam family: Bacterial small subunit ribosomal RNA
Source: RNAcentral